RNAcentral lists this ribosomal RNA (481 nucleotides) under uncultured bacterium. RNAcentral describes it as "partial 16S ribosomal RNA". It matches the Rfam family "Bacterial small subunit ribosomal RNA", at positions 28 to 523 of the family's 1533-position model. The record is from RNAcentral.
GACGAACGCUGGCGGCGUGCCUAACACAUGCAAGUCGAACGGAGAUACGAUUUCGGUUGUAUCUUAGUGGCGAACGGGUGAGUAACGCGUGAGCAACCUGACUCUUAGAGGGGGAUAACACUCGGAAACGAGUGCUAAUACCGCAUAAGACCACGACAUGGCAUCAUGACGAGGUCAAAGGAGCAAUCCGCUGAGAGAGGGGCUCGCGUCCCAUUAGAUAGAUGGCGGGGUAACGGCCCACCAUGUCCGCGAUGGGUAGCCGAGCUGAGAGGCUGAUCGGCCACACUGGAACUGAGACACGGUCCAGACUCCUACGGGAGGCAGCAGUGGGGAAUAUUGGGCAAUGGGCGCAAGCCUGACCCAGCAACGCCGCGUGAGGGAAGAAGGCUUUCGGGUUGUAAACCUCUGUCCUUGGUGACGAAACAAAUGACGGUAGCCAAGGAGGAAGCCCCGGCUAACUACGUGCCAGCCGCUGCGGUAA